Molecule: small nuclear RNA, 164 nt
Organism: Eptatretus burgeri (inshore hagfish)
Lineage: Eukaryota; Metazoa; Chordata; Myxini; Myxiniformes; Myxinidae
Gene: U1
Rfam family: U1 spliceosomal RNA
About the family: U1 is a small nuclear RNA (snRNA) component of the spliceosome (involved in pre-mRNA splicing). Its 5' end forms complementary base pairs with the 5' splice junction, thus defining the 5' donor site of an intron.
Source: Ensembl
AUACUUACCUGACUGGAGAAACACCAUGAUCAAUAAGGUGGUGUUCUCAGGGUGAGACCGACCCAUUGCACACCGGGUGGGUUGACCCUUGCGAUUUCCCCAAAUGUGGGAAACUCGACUGUACAAUUUGUGGUAGUGGGGGACUGCGUUCGCGCUGUCCCCUG